RNAcentral lists this small nucleolar RNA (95 nucleotides) under Beta vulgaris subsp. vulgaris (sugar beet). The record is from RNAcentral. Lineage: Eukaryota; Viridiplantae; Streptophyta; Magnoliopsida; Caryophyllales; Amaranthaceae.
UUCCAUUGCAAUGAUGACAAAAAACUAUACCCAGCUCUUUGAGAUCUUCCAACGAUCCAGGAAAAUGCAUAUGUUCAUUUUGUCUAAGCUUUAGA